Molecule: unclassified non-coding RNA, 697 nt
Filed under: Hevea brasiliensis (rubber tree)
Lineage: Eukaryota; Viridiplantae; Streptophyta; Magnoliopsida; Malpighiales; Euphorbiaceae
Source: RNAcentral
AAUAAAUGGUAAAAAAUUGAAUAAUUUCCCUGAAACUUAAAGCCAAUUCUUUACCUUUCACCUUUCUUCCAUACCUUCUCUAAUGUUACCCUACCAAUUUCACUUUCCGAUCAGCCAAAAGCCCACAAAAAAAUAUUUACCUUCGAGAAAAUUCUUUAACCUAUCUCAAUUGAGUAAAAAUUGAAUACUUUUAACUAGACUACAAGCUGUUGCUGCUGAUCAAGUUGCAUCUGCUCAAGCCAAGAUUCUAAAACACAAUCAAUUUGAGAAUUAGGAAAUCCCUCACCAGAUAAGGCUGCACCAGAAACAGGUACGCCAUACUUCUCCUUAAUCAUCUCAGGAGGUGAUUCCUUAACCAGAGACUGUACCCAGGAGAGGUCAGGCUCAUCACCAUUGUUUCCAAGCUCAAAUGACGAAGAUCUUUGCAAGUGACCCCGUUCAUUUCCUCCACCAACAGACAAAUCAAAUUUCCCAUUUGGGGAACCCCACUUAGUCCAAGAAUUCACUGGAGAUCCAACCAUUGAGGCUGCAGGAUUGUUUGAUCCAAGAUCCCUCGAACUAAGGCUCCGUAGUUGUUGGUGCUGCUUCUCCCGCUGGGCAAAUGCUGAGAGACGGGAGCCCAUCGGAGAGAUUGGCUCUAAGCUUCGUGGUGACAUCCUUCCAGGAGAUCCAACACCAAAUGAAGCCUGCAGUAGAG